Molecule: ribosomal RNA, 630 nt
Filed under: Inocephalus dennisii
Lineage: Eukaryota; Fungi; Basidiomycota; Agaricomycetes; Agaricales; Entolomataceae
Description: partial large subunit ribosomal RNA
Rfam family: Eukaryotic large subunit ribosomal RNA
Source: RNAcentral
UAAGCGGAGGAAAAGAAACUAACAAGGAUUCCCUUAGUAACUGCGAGUGAAGAGGGAAAAGCUCAAAUUUAAAAUCUAGUAGUCUUUGGCUACUUGAGUUGUAAUCUAGAGAAGUAUUAUCCGUACUGGACCAUGUAUAAGUCUCCUGGAAUGGGGCAUCAUAGAGGGUGAGAAUCCCGUCUUUGACAAUGGACUUCCAGUGCUUUGUGAUAUGCUCUCAACGAGUCGAGUUGUUUGGGAAUGCAGCUCUAAAUGGGUGGUAAAUUCCAUCUAAAGCUAAAUAUUGGCGAGAGACCGAUAGCGAACAAGUACCGUGAGGGAAAGAUGAAAAGAACUUUGGAAAGAGAGUUAAACAGUACGUGAAAUUGUUGAAAGGGAAACGCUUGAAGUCAGUCACAUUGAUUAGAGAUCAACCUUGCUUCUUCUGCUUGGUGUAUUUUCUGUUCAAUGGGUCAGCAUCAAUUUUGAUCAGUGGAAAAAGAUUGUAGGGAAUGUGGCAUCUCCGGAUGUGUUUAUAGCCCUCUGUUGUAUACAUUGAUUAAGAUUGAGGAAUUCAGCACGCCGAAAGGCCGGGUUUUAACCACGUUCGUGCUUAGGAUGCUGGCAUAAUGGCUUUAAUCGACCCGUCUU